Molecule: long non-coding RNA, 1347 nt
Filed under: Homo sapiens (human)
Lineage: Eukaryota; Metazoa; Chordata; Mammalia; Primates; Hominidae
Description: HSALNT0017855
Source: RNAcentral
GCCAGGGGUGCCAAGGGAGAGAGCUUCACGGGGAUGUGAUGUCGGCUUUAAGUCUGGAAGGAUGAGUUCUGGGGGGAGAAAAAAGAGGCCCAAGAGGGGUGGGGCCCAUCGGGUACAGGAGACUUGGCAGCAAGGAAGAGAAAGUGUGGAGUGUGGCAUGUCUGAGGGGGGCAAAGUGGUUUCUUACUGGGGUGAGGAGAGCUUGGUGGGGAGCCAGGCUGGUGAGAUGAGUGGGGAUUCUUCCUUUGCCAGGCCAGUACUGAGGUUCUCAGCGCUCACUACCUGUCGGCGGCGGCAGGGGGCCUCCAUGGGUACAGAAGCUCCACUCCCCUCAACGGGCUCUGCUCCAGUGGGUAUCAGAGAUGUCUCUUUAGCAGCUCUAAAACAUAUUUGCUAUGAAUAGCCACCAACAGGAUUAUUAUGGGUUGCAAAUGGAAGAAAGAGAAAGGGAAGAGUAAAAGAGAAAGGGAAGAGUAAAAGAGAAAGGUUCAUAAAGGUUAGUGAGAAUCUGUAUACACUGCAGAAACAGUUUCCUCUGGAGAUGACAUUGACUGAGUCUGUAGUGGAAGUCAGGAGCAGAGGAAGCGUGGAGUGCGCACUAGCUCUCUAUGGAAGACGGGAGCAGGGGACGCGUGGAGCGUGCACUAGUCCUCCAUGGAAGUCAGGAGCAGAGAAUGCCUGGAAUGCGCACUAUCCUUCCAUAGAAGACAGGAGCAGAGGACGCCGGAGUGCGCACUAGCCCUCCGUGGAAGACGGGAGCAGAGGACAUCGGAGUGCGCACUAGCAGUCCAUGGAAGUCAGGAGCAGAGAAUGCCUGGAGGGCGCACUAGCCCUCCAUAGAAGACAGGAGCAGAGGACGUCGAAGUGCGCACUAGCCCUCCAUGGAAGACGGGAGCAGAGGACGGUGGAGUGCGCACCAGUCCUCCGUGGUAGACAGGAGCAGAGAAUGCCUGGAGUGUGUACUAGCCCUCCAUGGUAGAUGGGAGGAGAGAAUGCCAGGAGUGUGCACUAGCCCUCCAUAGAAGAUGGGAGCAGAGGACGCGUGGAGUGCGCACUAGCCCUCCUUGGAAGUCGGGAGCAGAGGACGCCGCAGUGCGCACUAGCCCUCCAUGGAAGACAGGCGCAGAGGACGCCGGAGUGCGCACUAGCCCUUCAUGGAAGACGGGAGCAGAGGAUGCGUGGAGUGCGCACCAGCCCUCCAUGGAAGUCAGGAGCAAAGGAUGUGUGGAGUGCGUACUAGCCCUCCAUGGCAGCAUUUCCCAAAUGGUGGCCCCUGAAUCUUUGUUCCUCCAGAUGUGCUAAAAGAAAAAGAGGCUUGUGGUUAAAUAAAUUUGGGAAAAUUUUAAG